CUGCUGCCUUCCGUAGGAGUCUGGUCCGUGUCUCAGUACCAGUGUGGGGGACCUUCCUCUCAGAACCCCUACGCAUCGUCGUCUUGGUGGUCCGUUACACCGCCAACUAACUAAUGCGACGCAUGCCCAUCCGCCACCGGAAUUAACCUUUGGCACCAACAGGAUGUCCCGUCGAUGCAUUAUGCCGUAUUAGACGGAAUUUCUCCCGAUUAUCCGGCUGUGGCAGGCAGGUUGCAUACGUGUUACUCACCCA
Molecule: ribosomal RNA, 253 nt
Filed under: uncultured bacterium
Lineage: Bacteria
Description: partial 16S ribosomal RNA
Source: RNAcentral